Molecule: long non-coding RNA, 3973 nt
Filed under: Mus musculus (house mouse)
Lineage: Eukaryota; Metazoa; Chordata; Mammalia; Rodentia; Muridae
Description: long non-coding RNA chr6:58621269-58625242
Source: RNAcentral
UCUCCUCUUACAGGGAAGUUGCCCAGAUAUCUGGUGUUUGAACCUACCUCCUGGCAGAAGUUAUGAUCCACUCACAGCGAUCUUAAGACCGCGUGGAGGGUCCUGUGGGUACCUUGCGGGUGUCCGCAGACUCUGCGCCCAAGCUACCCUGGUGCUGGCUGGGUGCCUUUAUUUUGAUAGUGAGAAAAGUUUGACUCAUGGCCUGCCUAGCAGUCAGAAAUGGCUUUAGAUCUUUGUAUUGUUUUGCUGUUUCAUAAAUUUAUGAUUCUCUGGUGAAUAGAGAUGACCAGAUAUUAUUUAUUCAGAGAUAAAAAUCAAAACAGUACAAGUUAACAUACAGGUAUCUACCUGAAUCAUACACAUAUCAUACACAUGUGUGUAUGUACAUAUUAUAUAAUAAAAUAUGUUAAAUAUGAUUUUUACAGUUCCCUCUAAGUAUCAAACAAAUAUGUGUAUAGUUAGAAGGUGUGCUUUUGCUUAUUGUGUUGAAAAGCUUUCUUGACAUUUAGAUCCCAUACAUUAUUUUUGCCUUUUGCAACCUUUUAAGUGCUGCAUAGGCUUUGCCACUGAGCCUCACACUCCAAUCAUUUCAUCCAUUUAAGGAGUACAAUCUAAUGUUACUAACAUACAGACUCUUAUUAGCUAUGUUGAACUCUCAUAACAAUUACCAUUCUUUAGGAUGAACACCGGUUUUAAAACAUUAAGAUAAUCUAACUGUAAAGGUUUGCCUUCCUAAGCAUUUCAUAAGUGGAACACCAGAGCCUUCUGGUCAGAGCAUCACUUAAUUGGCAUAUUUGUGGGAUUUGUCUACUUUGUAGCAUGACUCAGUAUUGUUAUUGUUGUUUAUAUUUUAUUAUUGUUGUUGUUGUUAGGUAGAGCUAUUCCGCUGUGCAGCUAUAUUACAUUUUAUUUAUCUACCUCUAAUCUGAGGGACUUCCUGCUUCUUUGUUAUUGAAAUUUCCUUCAGACAUGUUAAUCAUGUUAAAAAUGGUAUUUUACCUUUAAAAGUAAACCUCAAACUGUUACACAUCCAUCAUCUAUGUGCGAGCAUUGCAGUUCUUGUAUCUUCUCUGCUACCUUGCUGUUGUCUGUAUGCUUUAUUUUAGCCAGUUUAGGGAAUAUGAAAUGAUAGCUCAUUGGAGUUUCAAUUUGUAUUUGCCAAUGACUGAUGAUACAAGCCAUGGAUCAUUCAUAUAUCUUUGAAACAACUGUGUAGACCAUUACCUUUUCUUUAUUUCUUGAUAUUACAUUGCCACAAUUCUUUAUAUAUUCUGUAUAAAAGUUGUUAUUCUAUCUUUUGUCCUAAGGGGGAAAAUACAAUACUUGCAUUUUAAUUUAGUUUAUACAAGGAAACAAAAGUAUAUUAUACUUUUUAUAGUAUUAUGUGCAUAUACACUUCCUUGUCUCAGACCAUCAAUAAAGCAUGCCAAGGGAUGAACCUAAAGAACCUAAAGAACUGAAACAGAGAGCAUGGAGGAGGCAUGCUGCUGACUGGCUUGCUUUCAGUCUCAAAGUUAACUGUUUUCCUUAUGCCUUAUAGGAUGACCUGCCCAGGGGUGGCACUAGCCACAGUAGGAGGGGUCCUCCCAUAAAAACAAUCAAGAAGAUAACACAAAGACAUGCUUACAGGUCAAUCAGUUGGAGGCAUUUUUUUUAAACUGAGGUUCUCUUCUCUAGAUGACUUUGGUUGGAUCCAGUUGACAAAAUAUCACUAGAACAGUAUAUAAAUAUAUUUGCUUGAGCACAUGCAUAAAAACACAUGAUGUUUGUAUUUGGGGGGAAAUAUUAUGAUGUAGUUAAAAGUUGUUUUCCUACCUUUGAUUUGGAUAUAUUCUCCCAGUAUCUGAUUUAUAUUUUCACUUUCACUUUUAACAUAUAUUUAGAAAUGAUAUGCACACAAAGAGUUUGUGCAGUUCCUGAAGCAGAUCUGUAGUAUCCUACCAUUAUUAUGCCAUAAUAUGAAAUCUAUUUAUUCACUGGCAUUUAAACUAAGCAAACGUGUAACUCGUCCUUGGCAAAAUCACGUACUAGUGUAGUUGGAAAGGGCCUGAAUGACAUAAUACCUUUCUAACUUUCAAGUCAUUUCUUGCUUGUUUAAUUGAUUUAAUCAUAAUUCCUGUACAUGUGGUUUUAUGGAGCAUACAGAGUACAACUUAGAAUCAAAGCAAAACAGAGAGGGGAGAAGUGUAAAAACAAUUAGUUAUUCUUUGUAAUAUUAGGCACUUAAUUGCUGGCUCAAGAUAAAAAGAAUUGGAUGUCAAAGACAAUGGAGAACUUUGAACUCUAAAAAUAGCCAUAAUGGAAAUUCACUGUAGAAACAACUUACUUUACAAAAGCAAAGCAAAGCAACAGCAGUAAGCAAGAGCCCAUGCGUUUAUGGGACUGGUAGUGUACAUGCCAGAUAAAGUAUUACUGCAUACUUACCACCGUCUGGAGCCUCCUUUCCAUUUGGGAUUUGUAUAGUUUUGGAUGUCUCUUUAAAUUGACUUCUUGAUUUUCAUUCAAACAUGUACUGUAAGGCUAAAGAAUAAUUUAUGCUCUCAUAAGGGAGACAAAUAAGAAGUUAAUAAUAAAAUUAUGAAUCAACCACCUUAAUAUCUUAUCUUAAUAUCUUAAUAUCUUAUACCUAUAAGUAUAAAAUUAAUAAGAUGAGAUCAUCUCUUUUAUUUGAGAUGAAUGAAACUGAUAGUCAUCUACCUAGAUUGCCUUAGGAAGGUUAAAGAGACUGAAAUUAAUAAAUUGAGAAAGCAAAAUUGGGACAUGGAUGUAAAUUUUAUAGAAAAAAGAGUAGGGAACUCAGAAGAUGGUGGAUGGUACCUAGUUUAUGCCCAGCCAGAGUUUCCAGGGGCUUUGAAUAUCUGAACCAUAUGUUCAGUAGUAGAAGGUUUAAAGAGAUGGGAGCAAAUCGAUGUGCAAAGGAAAUAGCAACCUGAUUAGAAGGAAAUGCCCAGGAAACCCCACUCUUUUCAGCACUGGGCACUCAACACUUGCCCAGCAGCCUCGAGAUGCCACUGUGAACAGAUUCUUCCUGCACUGGCAGCUUGAUAGCCAAGCCCAUGUGUGAGUCAUACUCUGGAUGCUUACAGUAAGUGUCCUGGGACUAUACACUGAAAUAUGGCCAGCAGAAUACUGCUAGAGUGAGCGUAUUAGUUACGUUUCUGUUGCUGUGAUAAAAUACCAUGACCAAAGAUAACUUUUGGAAGAAGGCGUUUAUUUUUUCUUAACUGUUCUAGAAGGUUAGAGUCUAUAACAUUUGGUGGGGAACAAAAAGGAGAAUGUCCCUUUUUUUUCCUCACACAAUGAGGCUAUAGAACCUUAAAGCCUUUCCCCAGUGAUGCACUUCCUUUAGCAAGGUUUCAUCUCUUAAAGGUUACAUAACCUUCCCCAAACAGCACCAUUAAACAUGAGCCUCUGGGAGACAUUUCUCAUUCAAUCCACAAUAUUGGAAAAGUAAUUUUGACUCAGAACUGCUCAGUACUGGGGGAGAAUAAAAGUGAGUCUCUAAAGGAACUUUCACAAGGUUCCAAGCAGAGGACCAGAGAGCAGGACGUACUAUACUAAGUGGUCUAUCUCCUGAGAGAUCGUCCGGAGGUGUGCACAAUAAGUUAAAUGAAUUACUAAGUGGGAAGCCUCAUGAGUAGAAUGGAGAGAAUGAGUCAUGGGGAGGAGAGAAUAUCUGGGCUUGAAGACAACGCAGAAGAUCUGAAAUAGUCAGUGAGAGAAACAUAAUAAUGAAAAUGUAUGAAAUAUGUGAGAUGCAUGGUACACCAUGAAAAGACCAAAUUUUAUGAGCUGUGAACAUAGAAGAACUGCAUGACAAAAACAAAGAAAACAUUUUAAAUAAAUCUUUUUGUUUUAUUUAUAUAUUUAUUUUAAACAUAUUUAUUUAUUUUAUUUAUAAAUUAAAAACCAUAGGCAUUUAGAACACCCAAUGGGCAAGAUCAGAAAAAAAAGUUCCCCACUAACUAUAUGG